This 394-nucleotide ribosomal RNA is filed under the name uncultured bacterium. RNAcentral describes it as "bacterial SSU rRNA". It matches the Rfam family "Bacterial small subunit ribosomal RNA", at positions 30 to 428 of the family's 1533-position model. The record is from RNAcentral.
AUUGAACGCUGGCGGCAUGCUUUACACAUGCAAGUCGAACGGUAACAGGCCUUCGGGUGCUGACGAGUGGCGAACGGGUGAGUAAUGCAUCGGAACAUACCCAGUCGUGGGGGAUAACGUAGCGAAAGUUACGCUAAUACCGCAUACGUCCUGAGGGAGAAAGCGGGGGAUCGCAAGACCUCGCGCGAUUGGAGUGGCCGAUGUCAGAUUAGCUAGUUGGUGGGGUAAAGGCCCACCAAGGCGACGAUCUGUAGCGGGUCUGAGAGGAUGAUCCGCCACACUGGGACUGAGACACGGCCCAGACUCCUACGGGAGGCAGCAGUGGGGAAUUUUGGACAAUGGGGGAAACCCUGAUCCAGCCAUGCCGCGUGCGGGAAGAAGGCCUCGGUUGUAA